CCUACGGGAGGCAGCAGUGGGGAAUAUUGCACAAUGGGCGAAACCCUGAUGCAGCGACGCCGCGUGAGUGAAGAAGUAUUUCGUUAUGUAAAGCUCUAUCAGCAGGGAAGAACAUGACGGUACCUGAGUAAGAAGCCCCGGCUAACUACGUGCCAGCAGCCGCGGUAUUACGUAGGGGGCAAGCGUUAUCCGGAUUUUCGGGGUGUAAAGGGAGCGUAGACGGCUGUGCAAGUCUGGAGUGAAAGGCGGGGGCUCAACCCCCGGACUGCUCUGGAAACUGGACGGCUGGAGUGCAGGAGAGGGAAGAGGAAUGCGUAGUGUAGCGGUGAAAUGAGGAGAUAUUAGGAGGAACACCAGGGGCGAAGGCGGCUGAAUGGACUGUAACGGACGUUGAGGCGCGAAAGCGUGGGGAGCAAACAGGAUUAGAGACCCGUGUAGUC
RNAcentral lists this ribosomal RNA (440 nucleotides) under uncultured bacterium. RNAcentral's name for it is "partial 16S ribosomal RNA". It matches the Rfam family "Bacterial small subunit ribosomal RNA", at positions 338 to 795 of the family's 1533-position model. The record is from RNAcentral.